AGCGCAGGUCACAGGCAUACAACGUCCAGUCUUCCAAACUGGCUACGCGGGUUCGAUUCCCGUCGUCC
This 68-nucleotide transfer RNA is filed under the name Cellulomonas soli. RNAcentral's name for it is "tRNA-Gly". Lineage: Bacteria; Bacillati; Actinomycetota; Actinomycetes; Micrococcales; Cellulomonadaceae. The record is from RNAcentral.